RNAcentral lists this ribosomal RNA (2788 nucleotides) under Escherichia coli. RNAcentral describes it as "bacterial LSU rRNA". It matches the Rfam family "Bacterial large subunit ribosomal RNA". Lineage: Bacteria; Pseudomonadati; Pseudomonadota; Gammaproteobacteria; Enterobacterales; Enterobacteriaceae. The record is from RNAcentral.
AGCGUACACGGUGGAUGCCCUGGCAGUCAGAGGCGAUGAAGGACGUGCUAAUCUGCGAUAAGCGUCGGUAAGGUGAUAUGAACCGUUAUAACCGGCGAUUUCCGAAUGGGGAAACCCAGUGUGAUUCGUCACACUAUCAUUAACUGAAUCCAUAGGUUAAUGAGGCGAACCGGGGGAACUGAAACAUCUAAGUACCCCGAGGAAAAGAAAUCAACCGAGAUUCCCCCAGUAGCGGCGAGCGAACGGGGAGCAGCCCAGAGCCUGAAUCAGUGUGUGUGUUAGUGGAAGCGUCUGGAAAGGCGCGCGAUACAGGGUGACAGCCCCGUACACAAAAAUACACAUACUGUGAGCUCGAUGAGUAGGGCGGGACACGUGGUAUCCUGUCUGAAUAUGGGGGGACCAUCCUCCAAGGCUAAAUACUCCUGACUGACCGAUAGUGAACCAGUACCGUGAGGGAAAGGCGAAAAGAACCCCGGCGAGGGGAGUGAAAAAGAACCUGAAACCGUGUACGUACAAGCAGUGGGAGCACAGAGCAAUCUGUGUGACUGCGUACCUUUUGUAUAAUGGGUCAGCGACUUAUAUUCUGUAGCAAGGUUAACCGAAUAGGGGAGCCGAAGGGAAACCGAGUCUUAACUGGGCGUUAAGUUGCAGGGUAUAGACCCGAAACCCGGUGAUCUAGCCAUGGGCAGGUUGAAGGUUGGGUAACACUAACUGGAGGACCGAACCGACUAAUGUUGAAAAAUUAGCGGAUGACUUGUGGCUGGGGGUGAAAGGCCAAUCAAACCGGGAGAUAGCUGGUUCUCCCCGAAAGCUAUUUAGGUAGCGCCUCGUGAAUUCAUCUCCGGGGGUAGAGCACUGUUUCGGCAAGGGGGUCAUCCCGACUUACCAACCCGAUGCAAACUGCGAAUACCGGAGAAUGUUAUCACGGGAGACACACGGCGGGUGCUAACGUCCGUCGUGAAGAGGGAAACAACCCAGACCGCCAGCUAAGGUCCCAAAGUCAUGGUUAAGUGGGAAACGAUGUGGGAAGGCCCAGACAGCCAGGAUGUUGGCUUAGAAGCAGCCAUCAUUUAAAGAAAGCGUAAUAGCUCACUGGUCGAGUCGGCCUGCGCGGAAGAUGUAACGGGGCUAAACCAUGCACCGAAGCUGCGGCAGCGACACUAUGUGUUGUUGGGUAGGGGAGCGUUCUGUAAGCCUGUGAAGGUGUACUGUGAGGUAUGCUGGAGGUAUCAGAAGUGCGAAUGCUGACAUAAGUAACGAUAAAGCGGGUGAAAAGCCCGCUCGCCGGAAGACCAAGGGUUCCUGUCCAACGUUAAUCGGGGCAGGGUGAGUCGACCCCUAAGGCGAGGCCGAAAGGCGUAGUCGAUGGGAAACAGGUUAAUAUUCCUGUACUUGGUGUUACUGCGAAGGGGGGACGGAGAAGGCUAUGUUGGCCGGGCGACGGUUGUCCCGGUUUAAGCGUGUAGGCUGGUUUUCCAGGCAAAUCCGGAAAAUCAAGGCUGAGGCGUGAUGACGAGGCACUACGGUGCUGAAGCAACAAAUGCCCUGCUUCCAGGAAAAGCCUCUAAGCAUCAGGUAACAUCAAAUCGUACCCCAAACCGACACAGGUGGUCAGGUAGAGAAUACCAAGGCGCUUGAGAGAACUCGGGUGAAGGAACUAGGCAAAAUGGUGCCGUAACUUCGGGAGAAGGCACGCUGAUAUGUAGGUGAAGUCCCUCGCGGAUGGAGCUGAAAUCAGUCGAAGAUACCAGCUGGCUGCAACUGUUUAUUAAAAACACAGCACUGUGCAAACACGAAAGUGGACGUAUACGGUGUGACGCCUGCCCGGUGCCGGAAGGUUAAUUGAUGGGGUCAGCGCAAGCGAAGCUCUUGAUCGAAGCCCCGGUAAACGGCGGCCGUAACUAUAACGGUCCUAAGGUAGCGAAAUUCCUUGUCGGGUAAGUUCCGACCUGCACGAAUGGCGUAAUGAUGGCCAGGCUGUCUCCACCCGAGACUCAGUGAAAUUGAACUCGCUGUGAAGAUGCAGUGUACCCGCGGCAAGACGGAAAGACCCCGUGAACCUUUACUAUAGCUUGACACUGAACAUUGAGCCUUGAUGUGUAGGAUAGGUGGGAGGCUUGGAAGUGUGGACGCCAGUCUGCAUGGAGCCGACCUUGAAAUACCACCCUUUAAUGUUUGAUGUUCUAACGUUGACCCGUAAUCCGGGUUGCGGACAGUGUCUGGUGGGUAGUUUGACUGGGGCGGUCUCCUCCUAAAGAGUAACGGAGGAGCACGAAGGUUGGCUAAUCCUGGUCGGACAUCAGGAGGUUAGUGCAAUGGCAUAAGCCAGCUUGACUGCGAGCGUGACGGCGCGAGCAGGUGCGAAAGCAGGUCAUAGUGAUCCGGUGGUUCUGAAUGGAAGGGCCAUCGCUCAACGGAUAAAAGGUACUCCGGGGAUAACAGGCUGAUACCGCCCAAGAGUUCAUAUCGACGGCGGUGUUUGGCACCUCGAUGUCGGCUCAUCACAUCCUGGGGCUGAAGUAGGUCCCAAGGGUAUGGCUGUUCGCCAUUUAAAGUGGUACGCGAGCUGGGUUUAGAACGUCGUGAGACAGUUCGGUCCCUAUCUGCCGUGGGCGCUGGAGAAUUGAGGGGGGCUGCUCCUAGUACGAGAGGACCGGAGUGGACGCAUCACUGGUGUUCGGGUUGUCAUGCCAAUGGCACUGCCCGGUAGCUAAAUGCGGAAGAGAUAAGUGCUGAAAGCAUCUAAGCACGAAACUUGCCCCGAGAUGAGUUCUCCCUGACUCCUUGA